RNAcentral lists this transfer RNA (76 nucleotides) under Methylococcaceae bacterium. RNAcentral's name for it is "tRNA-Phe". It matches the Rfam family "tRNA". From Rfam's summary of the family: Transfer RNA (tRNA) molecules are approximately 80 nucleotides in length. Their secondary structure includes four short double-helical elements and three loops (D, anti-codon, and T loops). Lineage: Bacteria; Pseudomonadati; Pseudomonadota; Gammaproteobacteria; Methylococcales; Methylococcaceae. RNAcentral also lists the same sequence under 1 other name. The record is from RNAcentral.
GCCCGGGUAGCUCAGUCGGUAGAGCAAAGGAUUGAAAAUCCUUGUGUCGACGGUUCGAUUCCGCCCCCGGGCACCA